CAGAAUGCCAAGCAAGGUGCUGCUCUCAGAUCACUCAGAGGAGCCAGCACAGGCACUGUAGAGCUGAACUAGCUCACAUCAGCUAGCAGAUCUUUCCCCUCCGAUAGCUUCACCAGACUCUAGGAUACAGAAUGCACAGAGAAGCUGACGUUUGGAGAUAAUUGAGGUGAACCCACAGCAUCCCUUCUCCAUCCGUUUAAAUAGGAUCUUUCCAGAUUAAAUUGAUAAAGGAGCUCUAACUGGCUCAUGUUGGCUUGCUAAUCAGCCUGAGAAGCUGCUGAACACUCACAGAUGGUGGCCUUCACAAAACCAUGGAGCAUUUUGCAAAGUUGUAAGCUGUUGCUGUAUGGAGGAGAAAUGCCACGCUGACCUCAGCUGUCUGGGGGCAAAGUGGUUCCUGGGAAGCACCAAAAUUACACCAUGGGCUGGUUCCUCCUCUGGCAGAGAGACUCAAAGCAAAACCCCACAGGGAGCAGCCACAUCUGGAGUUUGGCAGCUUCCUGGGACUGGUCCAGCUCCAUUCUUCUUGCUUAGGUAUAUGGAGGUGCCCAAGAAGUUCUGCCAUGGAGACCUCACUGCCAUCUGCAGCAGGCUGAGAAGUGACUUGCUGCUGUGAUGCAAGGCACCCCAUCACACAGAGAUCCUAUUCUGGGAUUUCUGGCCAAACCCCAUUGUGUUCUUCAGUACUCAGGCACUGGCCUAACUUUCAGUUUCAACCUGCAUGUCACCACUGGAAAAUGCUACUUCCCGUUAACAGAAAAUAGACCUUUGCCCAAUAUG
Long non-coding RNA from Cuculus canorus (common cuckoo), 780 nucleotides. RefSeq lists it as uncharacterized. The record is from RefSeq and is a predicted model, not a curated record. NCBI's taxonomy places the organism in Eukaryota, Metazoa, Chordata, Aves, Cuculiformes, Cuculidae. The transcript has 4 exons.